RNAcentral lists this ribosomal RNA (437 nucleotides) under uncultured Lachnospiraceae bacterium. Its description in RNAcentral is "partial 16S ribosomal RNA". It matches the Rfam family "Bacterial small subunit ribosomal RNA", at positions 341 to 792 of the family's 1533-position model. Lineage: Bacteria; Bacillati; Bacillota; Clostridia; Lachnospirales; Lachnospiraceae. The record is from RNAcentral.
ACGGAAGGCAGCAGUGGGGAAUAUUGCACAAUGGGCGCAAGCCUGAUGCAGCAACGCCGCGUGAGGGAAGACGGUCUUCGGAUUGUAAACCUUUGUCUUUGGUGAAGAAGAAAGUGACGGUAGCCAAGGAGGAAGCCACGGCUAACUACGUGCCAGCAGCCGCGGUAAUACGUAGGUGGCAAGCGUUAUCCGGAUUUACUGGGUGUAAAGGGAGCGUAGACGGCAAAGCAAGUCUGAAGUGAAAUCCCGGGGCUCAACCCCGGAACUGCUUUGGAAACUGUUUAGCUAGAGUGCAGGAGAGGUAAGCGGAAUUCCUAGUGUAGCGGUGAAAUGCGUAGAUAUUAGGAGGAACACCAGUGGCGAAGGCGGCUUACUGGACUGUAACUGACGUUGAGGCUCGAAAGCGUGGGGAGCAAACAGGAUUAGAUACCCUGGUA